Molecule: ribosomal RNA, 252 nt
Filed under: uncultured bacterium
Lineage: Bacteria
Description: partial 16S ribosomal RNA
Rfam family: Bacterial small subunit ribosomal RNA
Source: RNAcentral
UACGGAGGAUGCGAGCGUUAUCCGGAUUUAUUGGGUUUAAAGGGUGCGCAGGCGGUCUGUUAAGUCAGCGGUCAAAGCCCGGGGCUCAACCCCGGCCCGCCGUUGAAACUGGCAGCCUCGAGUGCGGUAGGGGUAAGCGGAAUUCCCGGUGUAGCGGUGGAAUGCGCAGAUAUCGGGAAGAACACCGAUGGCGAAGGCAGCUUACUGGGCCGACACUGACGCUGAGGCGCGAAAGCUAGGGGAGCGAACAGG